Molecule: ribosomal RNA, 1498 nt
Filed under: uncultured Bordetella sp.
Lineage: Bacteria; Pseudomonadati; Pseudomonadota; Betaproteobacteria; Burkholderiales; Alcaligenaceae
Description: partial 16S-23S ribosomal RNA intergenic spacer
Rfam family: Bacterial small subunit ribosomal RNA
Source: RNAcentral
GGUUCGAUCCUGGCUCAGAUUGAACGCUGGCGGGAUGUUUACACAUGCAAGUCGAACGGCAGUACGGACUUCGGUCUGGUGGCGAGUGGCGAACGGGUGAGUAAUGUAUCGGAACGUGCCUAGUGGGGAUAACUACGCGAAAGCGUAGCUAAUACCGCACAAUACCCUUCGGGGAAAGCGGGGACCUUCGGGCCUCGCACUAUUAGAGCGCAUGAUAUCGGAUUAGCUAGUUGGUGGGGCAACGCUCACCAAGGCGACGAUCCGUAGCUGGUUUGAGAGGACGACCAGCCACACUGGGAUCUGAGACACGGCCCAGACUCCUACGGGAGGCAGCAGUGGGGAAUUUUGACAAUGGGGAAACUCCUGAUCCAAGCCAUCCUGCAGCGGUGUGCGAUGAAGGCCUUCGGGUUGUAAAGCACUUUUGGCAGGAAAGAAACGGCACGGGAUAAUACCCCGUGCAACGACGGUACCCGCAGAAUAAGCACCGGCCAUCACGUGCCAGCAGCCGCGGUAAUACGUAGGGUGCAGGCGUUAAUCGGAAUUACUGGGCGUAAAGCGCGCAGGCGGUUCGGAAAGAAAGAUGUGAAAUCCCAGAGCUUAACUUUGGAACGGUAUUUAACUACCGGGAGCUUUCAGGGAGUGUGUCAGGAGGGAGGUGGAAUUCCGCGUGUAGCAGUGAAUGCGUAGAUAUGCGGAGGAACACCGAUGGCGAAGGCAGCCUCCUGGGAUAAUACCGACGCUCAUGCAUCGAAAGUGGGAGCAAACAGGAUUAGAUACCCUGGUAGUCCACGCCCCAAACGAUGUCAACUAGCCGUUGGGGCCUUCGGCCCGGUAGCGCAGCUAACGCGUGAAGUUGACCGCCUGGGGAAAGGUACGGUCGCAAGAUUAAAAACUCCGUGCGAAUUGAUGUGGACCCGCACAAGCGGUGGAUGAUGUGGAUUAAUUCGAUGCAACGCGAAAAACCUUACCUACCCUUGACAUGUCUGGAAUCCUGAAGAGAUGGGGAGUGCUCGCAAGAGAACCGGAACACAGGUGCCGUAUGGCUGUCGUCAGCUCGUGUCGUGAGAGAUGUUGGGUUAAGUCCCGCAACGAGUGCAACCCUGUCAUUAGUUGCUGCUACGAAAGGGCACUCUAUCGAGACUGCCGGUGACAAACCGGCGGAAGGUGGGGAUGACGUCAAGUCCCUCGGGCGGCCCUUAUGGGUAGGGCUUCACACGUCAUACAAUGGUUCUCCGGACAGACGGUCGCCAACCCGGCGAGGGGGAGCCAAUCCCAGAAACCCGAUCGUAGUCCGGACUGCAGUCUGCAACUCGACUGCGAAGCUGGAAUCGGCUAGUAAUCGCGGAUCAGCAUGUCGCGGUGAAUACGUUCCCGGGUCUUGUACACACCGCCCGUCACACCAUGGGAGUGGGUUUUACCUGAAGUAGUUAGCUCAACCGUAAGGAGGCGAUUACCACGGUAGGAUCUAUGACUGGGGUGAAGUCGUAACAAGGUAACU